UGAACCCGCCGUUCUUCAGGAACUGAACGUGACCGCACACCUGGAAGAUGGCUUCAACGAAUUCGCCUGGAGCUCCCAAACCGAAAAUACGUGUAUUUCUCUCAAGUUUUUUGUUUUUUGUUUUCACAGAGAACCGGGGCCCGAUUAAAGCUCACGUUUUAAGGGACGUUACCCUGAUUUGGCAGAGGUCCGCUGAAACGAGAGCUAACGUUAGCUAAUGCGUAGCAGCUAGCUAAACUGUGACGCUAGCUGCUCCCUUCCUGUGAGUUUUGUUGUUGCUGCUGCAGGAGGCAUCACAAAAGUGCUGAGGCAAAAUAUUCAACAGUUUCUCACCCCAGUAGAAACUCUGCUUUCUGCUGCAUUACUCUCUGAUUUACUUCUGGUUUCGGGAGGUUUUGGUGAAGAUGAAGAGAUGGCAGACUCGUGACUCCAAGAAAUAACGGUGAUGUGCCCUGGUGCUACACUUGGUUUCUUCAUGAGCUCUGUUAAAGGUUGGGCUUCCAUUAAGUCACAGAAGAUCUGAAUAUCUCCAAUAUAUAAUCUGGAAGUUGGUUGAGAGGCAGAAAGACCAAGGAGUCAAAAAUGUUGGACAUCACUCACUUCAUGUUCACUGUCCAUGGCUGUGGCAGAGCAAGCUACAUAUCUGGAAAAGCUGUGCAUAAUCAAAGCAGUGCUUCAGUGAUUCCUUCAGCUCUCAGUGACACUGCAAGAUCAUGUUUUGGACUGGAACCCUGACAGUCUGACAGAAGAGUCUGUGGUGGAGUCGUUCUACCACCCAUCCAGUGGCAGGACUGAGGGCGGCCAUCGAUUCCAUGACUUCCUCCUAGGACAAUGUCUCAGGCAGCCAAUCUCCGCUGACACUGGACAAGAGGGGGGGUACACCCUGGACAGAUUACCAGUCUAUUGUGGGGCUGACACAUGGAGAGAAAAACAACCAUUCACGUUCAUGGACUGUGGGAGGAGGCUG
Lates calcarifer (barramundi perch) is the source of this 967-nucleotide long non-coding RNA. RefSeq lists it as uncharacterized. The transcript is spliced from 5 exons. NCBI's taxonomy places the organism in Eukaryota, Metazoa, Chordata, Actinopteri, Centropomidae. The record is from RefSeq and is a predicted model, not a curated record.